Molecule: long non-coding RNA, 619 nt
Organism: Megalobrama amblycephala (Wuchang bream)
Lineage: Eukaryota; Metazoa; Chordata; Actinopteri; Cypriniformes; Xenocyprididae
Exons: 3
Source: RefSeq, a predicted model, not a curated record
AAUGGGCUACUUUACUAUAAAAAAUAUUAAUAAUAACAAUCAAAGUUGGAUUGACAUUCUUAAUUUGUGUUCACAAUAGUUAAAAUAAUCACAAUUCACAAAGUGCACCACAAGAGGGCACCAACUCUCAAUUGUCUCCCUACUUGAGCUUUUGAUAUAUAAGAGGUCAUCAUAUAAGAAUAUCCUGUUUCAGAACUGAAAACUUCUUGUUAGUCCAAUAAAGGUUUUUACUGACACCAGCGAAAAACUGAUCAAGAAAUCAAAAAGAAAUCAACGCCUACUUCAUUGCAAGGUUAGCCACGCCCACUGGCGUGUUAGCGAGGAGGAGAGAAGAGCGAUACAGGACUAAAAAUAACAUUACUUUUCAAAGGAUCUUAAUGCUAGGUUAUUUAUUUUCAACAAUGUGACAUCAAUCACAUUUCUGAGCAGGCUUUGCAAACAGACUUUUAUGAUAUGGACUCAACAGUAAAGCAACAACAUGUGAUAACAGAUACGCAUGGGAUUUUAACCACCUGUUGAUCACCAAAUGAAAGAAUUUUGCGCUGGCGAUUACAUUAUAAAAGAGGCUAGGAUCAAAAAACAUGCACACAACACCUAAUACAAGCAAGCCAUGGCAGUC